RNAcentral lists this long non-coding RNA (528 nucleotides) under Brassica rapa (field mustard). RNAcentral describes it as "long non-coding RNA (BRAP_LNC003409)". The record is from RNAcentral. Lineage: Eukaryota; Viridiplantae; Streptophyta; Magnoliopsida; Brassicales; Brassicaceae.
UGACUUUCUAGGAAUAUGUCCAUUAGGUCUAUUUUUUUAAAAAUCACAUAUGAAUCAAUGUUGUGAUUUCUGUUUAAAUAUAUAAGAUCUUGUUUUUGUUUUUAUUUACCCUCCAUAGAUUUCUAAAAACGUUUAGCGUUUGAUUUUCCAAUUUGUCUUAAUACUUUGGUCUUUCUUGUCAUUUCCCAUUAGCAAGUACUUCCAUCACUUGGAAAAUUCAUAACCAGAUAAUAGAGAGACGAUGGACAGCCGUUGCACCAUAUCCGAAAUCAGCUUCUUCACCACCUAACAACAACCCACAACGCUCAUACAGAUCCAAGCCAGAAGGAAACAAGCGAGAGAUGAAGCGGAACACUAACAACCGGUGAUUGAGACCCAGAAGACCAAGACCCAGCGAAUCUUGCAGACAUCCAAUGAUCCAAACAUCUCUAAACCAAGGGAAAAACAGCACAUGCAAAGUCUCUUACUCUAGAUCUGAAAAUCAAGAACUAGGUCUCAUUAAAGAGAAUACCAAGCUGUAAAAAUGAC